Mytilus trossulus (common blue mussel) is the source of this 961-nucleotide long non-coding RNA. RefSeq lists it as uncharacterized. The record is from RefSeq and is a predicted model, not a curated record. The transcript is spliced from 6 exons. Lineage: Eukaryota; Metazoa; Mollusca; Bivalvia; Mytilida; Mytilidae.
AAUAGUACUCUUCUGUGUAGUAAUAUUGUAGUUCUAAAAAUAGAAUACCAAAAAUAGACAAUUCUUCUUUCUGUUUAGCAAUACACCAUAGAUCUAAAGCCUGUCACCGUCUGUAUUAUCUGUAAGUAAAAUUAACGUACUGAGCAAUUGAAUACAAUGAAUAACACAAACUUCAGUUUAAUGAAGUUAUUCAAAGCAAAAUAUUUGUUUCAUCCAUUUUGCAUGAUUUGUCAUUUGUGAUGACACGUUUUUUAAAUGUUCGAAUCACAGACUAGAAGGAAAUCUUUUUUUUUCAGAAGUCCGCGGAAAAUGUAGAUAAGAGUGAAGUCCUCAGAAAAUGUAGAUGAGAAUGGAAUUGUAAGACAAUCAAAGAAAAUGAAAAAAAGAACAAGAACAGCUUAACUGCAAGAAAAGAUCACAACUGUAUCUCACUUCAGUUCCAGGUGAUGUUGACUAUCAAGUUAAAUGCUUUAACCGAGGCUCCUGUCGAUAACGAAUCAACCAAAAAGGCUGUUUUCCGAAAAAUGAAAGGGACAUCUGCCCCAAAAAAGGAUGACAAUGAGAAAACUAAAGAAUUUAUUGGCCAUGUUAUAGGCGAACUAAAUAAAACAAAUGUUAACAAGGCAAUUCAUGGGAAAGUUUUGAGGCCUUUUAGAAGACAAUAGAGACAAUGCUGCCAGACGAUUCAAGUGAACGACAAGAAGAACAGGAUUGUGACAAAUUUAAACUUACUUACUCAUUAAACAUAGUUACAUUUACAUGGAGUAAGAUUAUUGAGUCCUCUACUCUGUUAUUGGCAUACCCACCAAGGAAAUGGUAUUUCAUGCCCAGGAAAAACCUGAAAAUGACAAAAUGUUAUUGAGUUUGAAUUUAUGAUUUAUGUUUGAAGGAACAAAUAGAAAGUACAUAAAAUUUUAAUGAUUAUACAUUAUAUUUUUUGUUUUUAAUAAUGUUUUCAUAC